Molecule: long non-coding RNA, 482 nt
Organism: Cyprinus carpio carpio
Lineage: Eukaryota; Metazoa; Chordata; Actinopteri; Cypriniformes; Cyprinidae
Source: Ensembl
AUGCUACUUUGGGAUUCUAAUGAAUUGGAAUGAAUUAAUUACACCAAGUUAUUGCAAUGGAUGGAUUUAACCUCUCAUGAUUAAUGGGGCACCUCUGAGGGCCACUUAUGAAGAAAAGUGAAGACUUCUUAAGUCUGCAGAAGGUUUGAAAUGAAAUAAACUGCAUACAAUCCAAGGAGUGGAAAUUCUGGAUGACAACUGUUCAUUACAUUUCUGUAUGCAGCAUUUAAAACAGUCAAGUGGUUGGAAAAUUGCUGAAAUUAAGAGUUUGCCUGGCUGUAAAUCUGGGUUUUACUAUUAUUUUCUAUAUAUAUAAGACAACUGCUCUUGUAGAAGUGGUUGCAUGAUGUACAGUAUAGGCCUACUGAUAAAUAAAUAAAUUUAUGAAUAAUUUAUUUUGUAAAGAAUAAAAAUGGUUGAAUCAGUUGUUCUUUCAUUGUCUAUGGUGGACGUCUGACAAACAUGCUCAAACUUCAGUGUGC